This 22-nucleotide small nuclear RNA is filed under the name Arabidopsis thaliana (thale cress). RNAcentral's name for it is "snRNA_07748". The record is from RNAcentral. Lineage: Eukaryota; Viridiplantae; Streptophyta; Magnoliopsida; Brassicales; Brassicaceae.
ACUUGGGUAUAGGGGCGAAAGA